Acinonyx jubatus (cheetah) is the source of this 3071-nucleotide long non-coding RNA. RefSeq lists it as uncharacterized. The transcript is spliced from 3 exons. The record is from RefSeq and is a predicted model, not a curated record. Lineage: Eukaryota; Metazoa; Chordata; Mammalia; Carnivora; Felidae.
UCAUGGCAGGACAUUUACGGUGUCCCGACAGUGAUUAGAGGAUAGCAAGCUAAGUGUGCUGGGGGCACCAAGGCCAGGGGCACUGUUCUGCCAGCUGAGUGACUGAUUCCAGCCACUGCGCGGGAAUAAGUCACUGCACCUGGGGGCUUGGAGGCUUCUAGGAAAAAGUUGAAGUGGCAAGUGUUAAACCUGGGAUGUAAAGGGCCCAUGUCACUGAGCAGACGGGACAGGGCAUGGCUGUGACUGCAGAAGCCAGUCUCUCCUUGACCUGUGCUGUCUCUGUGACCCUGUGCAUCCCUUAGCCACUCGGCCUCACAUUCUUCCUGUGGAAAAUGGGAUGAUAUUUCCUGGUCUGUCUUCCUCACAGGUUUGGAUGACCAUGAAAUGAAAGCUGCAUGACCAAGAGUUUUGGCAACCCUACAUGACUACAUGAAGCCCGGGGUCACCAUGAUGUCAUCAGCAUUGUCUGCAGGGGGGAGGGGUCCUGAUCGGCUGACUGUGGAUCACUGGCUCCAGGAAGGGGAUGCCUCGUGGACAUCUCGGUGUCCCCCACCCUGCACUUCACAGACACACACCCUCUUCCCGGCGCCAGGACAAAUCCCACUCAGAGAUGUGUCCCCAUGGGGUUAAAACGACACGAGGCCCUCAUACCAGGGAGCUCCGCCACCGCAUCCCCAGGAUUGGACACAUACAUGAAAAGUCCCACGGUCCCUGCCACCAACCCUCGAGACAGACAGCAGGCUCCAGCCCCUCUCUUAUCCCAGGCUCAGCAGUUCUGGAUACUUCUUGGGUAGCAGCACUGUCCAGGGACGAGAUGAUGCAUCCUGAGGCAGAUAGGCAGGGCCAGGAUGUCCUGGAGCCUGUGUCCUCAGCCUGUGGUCCGGGGACCUCCCCAGCCUGUAAAGCCGAGUCACGUCUGAGAAGGAACUUUGUUUUCUCUCAUUUGGAUAUUCAUUGGCCAGACUUGUGUCCACACUGCAGCCGGCAGGGUCCCUGCCUCAGGUGUUGCAACUUCAUGCAUUAAUGAGGCAAAUAUUAACCAAAUGCCUCCCGCACUAUGUAUUAGACGCCAGGAAGACAUCAGUGAACAAAACAGAUUUUGAAUUUCCCUUUCUUCAUGGGACUUACGUUCUCAUGGUGUGGGGUGAGGUACAGGAAAGAAGCAAUCAGUAACUAGGUUGCGAGGUAUCUUAAAUGAUAAAUGACGUGGAAGUUAGUAGGAUCUGGAGGGUGGGGUGCUGCAGGGUGGAGGGGGCAGGGAAUUUCACCUUAACUAGGGAGCUCCAGGAAGGCUCAUGGAGAAGGUGCCACCAGAGCUGAUAUAGGAGGUGAGCAUCAGGAAAGGAACAUUCUGGUCAGGGGAACAGCCAGGGCAGAGAGUGACACCUUGGCCACCACCUGGUGUGUUUGAGGAACAAGGGGACCCGUGGCGUGAGACCGGUGAGUCAGGGAAGUAGUAAUUAGGGAGACCAGCAGGCCAGGUGUGGAGUCGUCCUGGCAAGUGAUAACGGGAGGAGAGUGGCUCCAAACCAGCUGGUGAUAAGGGCUGGCUUUCGUUUGGGUCCUUGAAGCCCUUAUAGUUUAGGAAUGUCUUCUUUAAGGAAGAAAUAAAAUAAAAUUACAAAUAUGAAAUUAAAGCACGGGGUUUUGGAAAGGCAAGCAAGGGACCCUGAAGCUUGGACUCCUUAGCUUCCUGCUGAUGAAGCAGAGGACGUGGGGCUUGGGCUUGGGAUCACCUCAGAGCAUCCCACUCACCCCAAGAUAACAUCCCUCCCACCCCCGUUUCCUCCCCUACAGUGCUGCCCUUCUGUGACUUUUUUCCCGUUCCAGACUUACUGCCUUCCAUGUCAGCCAGAGAUUGCCUACAUAGAAAUUGGGAUGGAGAGGAGUCGAGUCCACAGCAUGUCCCAGCCUGGCCAGCCCACAGGGACAACACCAACAGUGAGGGAAGAGAAAUCAGGAGGACAAGGCAUACACCCGGAAAGGAGGCUGGGGGCCCCCCUCCAGACCCCCCACUGUGAGCUUUCAGGGGUGGCAGGGAGGGGCCAGGCCCCACAGACCUGAGCGUGGGACUCUCUUGAGCUGGCUGCUUGAGCCCCACCCCAGGGGCCCAGAGUCUGCUUUGGAAAGCUGGAAGGGCCGGGGGGCCGAGUGGAGCAGGCCGGAGAGGUAAGGUCCAUUAUGUACAGUCCUCACUACCUUACCAGAGGCAGGGAAGCAGCGUGCAGACCAACAGCCUUUCUUACUUCCACAAGAUGUGGCUGCUGAGGGGCCUCGUAUGCCUUGUUUUCUUCCCCCUUUCUUCUUCCUUCUCUUCCUCCCUCCCUCCUACUUUCUCCAUCGCUCUUUUCUCUCUCUUUUCCUCCUGGGAAAGGAUGCCAUCUAAAAGCAGCCAAUGUGUGUACAUUUUUACCAAUUAAAAAAUCUCGUAAUAAAGUUGCUAGCUGCUAUUUCUGUCAAGGUGGAGACAUUUUCUUCUUUUAAUUUUUUUAAUGUUGAUUUAUUUUUGAGAGAUAGAGCAUGAGCAGGGGAGGGGCAGAGAGAGAGGGAGACACAGAAUCUGAAGCAGGAUCCAGGCUCUGAGCUGUCAGCACAGAGCCUGACGCAGGGCUCGAACCCACAAGCCAUGAGAUCAUGACCUGAGCCAAAGUUAGAUGCUCAACCCACUAAGCCACCCAAGCGCCCCUUUCUUUUAAUUUUUAAAAAAUGUUUAUUUAUUUUUGAGAGAGAGAAACAGAGCGUGAGUGGGGGAGGGGCAGAGAAAGAGCUACACAGGAUCUGAGUAGCUCCAGGCUCUGAGUGGUCAGCAUAGAGUCUGACUUGGGGCUCAAACUCAUGGACUGUGAGAUCAUGACUUGAGCCAAAGUCAGAUGCUUAACCGACUGAGCCACCCAGAAGCCCUAUCUAGGUGGAGACAUUUAAACAAAUUUGGUUAUCAUGUGGGAAUUUUGAUAAAUUUGUUUAAAUGGGAUUCUUGUUGUAAUACAAUCCUUCACCUUCUGAGAUGAAUCAGUCAACCGAGCAAUAAAUACAGUGCACCUGCUGUCUGUAGAGUUUUAUUCUGGUCCCUG